CCAGACUCCUACGGGAGGCAGCAGUGAGGAAUAUUGGUCAAUGGGCGAGAGCCUGAACCAGCCAAGUCGCGUGAAGGAUGACGGCCCUACGGGUUGUAAACUUCUUUUGUCAGGGAGCAAUUGAGUCCACGUGUGGUCUUAGCGAGAGUACCUGAAGAAAAAGCAUCGGCUAACUCCGUGCCAGCAGCCGCGGUAAUACGGAGGAUGCGAGCGUUAUCCGGAUUUAUUGGGUUUAAAGGGUGCGUAGGCGGACUUGUAAGUCAGCGUAAAACGCCCGGGGCUCACCCCGGGCGAGCCGUUGAAACUGGCUGUCUUGAGAUGUCGAGAGGUAUGCGGAAUGCGCAGUGUAGCGGUGAAAUGCUUAGAUAUUGCGCAGAACUCCGAUUGCGAAGGCAGCAUACCGGCGGCGAUCUGACGCUGAGGCACGAAAGCGUGGGUAUCGAACAGGAUUAGAUACCCCGGUA
RNAcentral lists this ribosomal RNA (464 nucleotides) under uncultured bacterium. RNAcentral's name for it is "bacterial SSU rRNA". It matches the Rfam family "Bacterial small subunit ribosomal RNA", at positions 331 to 792 of the family's 1533-position model. The record is from RNAcentral.